AAUUAUCGUGUGAUAGUUCAUUGUAACCAAAAUGCUUGUAUCAAACUUAUUAAAAUAAUGGAAGAUUGUGAUUGUUUCCUAGUGGUUAAUUAACACCAUUGAAGUGUGGAGUAGGCAAAGCGAGGAGGAACUUCAGACCACUAUAUCUUUGUGUAUCUUUUCUUCUUCCCUUAACUACUUUAUUUUACUAGCAUCCAUUAAUAUUGUUAUUGCAUAAUUGCAUUAGUUGUAUGCCACAUAAGAUAAACUUUUCUUAUAGAGAUUUCCUGUAAA
Molecule: long non-coding RNA, 273 nt
Filed under: Lathyrus oleraceus (garden pea)
Lineage: Eukaryota; Viridiplantae; Streptophyta; Magnoliopsida; Fabales; Fabaceae
Description: Pisum sativum (pea) long non-coding RNA (PSAT_LNC004854)
Source: RNAcentral